GGAGACUGCAGAGAGUAGAGGGG
This 23-nucleotide non-coding RNA is filed under the name Cricetulus griseus (Chinese hamster). The record is from RNAcentral. Lineage: Eukaryota; Metazoa; Chordata; Mammalia; Rodentia; Cricetidae.